This 2147-nucleotide long non-coding RNA is filed under the name Agrilus planipennis (emerald ash borer). Its description in RNAcentral is "uncharacterized LOC112906135". Lineage: Eukaryota; Metazoa; Arthropoda; Insecta; Coleoptera; Buprestidae. The record is from RNAcentral.
UUGCAGGAAAUCCUUGAUCUAAGGACAUAAGUGUUACACAAAAAUUGGGACCUAAAACGUCAUUACAAAUUAAGAAAUGAUUCAGUGUACAUAAAGAAGAUGAUGUACAACAACUUUUUGUAAUACUUCUUCAGUAGGAAAGGAAUGACCAAAGUUGUGAGGCUUCAAAAAUUAAGCUCAUGAUUACUUCAUCUGUUAUGCAAAUUACCUUAUGAGUAUGAAGCUAAUUUUGAUUCUACCCUGUGGUAUCAUUUUUCAUGGACUAUGGACGUUACCUGUUGUUGACAACUUCAUCUUGCAACAUUAUGCAAUUUAUUUCCAACAAUUCUCGACAUAGCAAUACUUAAAGGAGACGUGGAGCUACCAAUGUGGUGUCUGUCGCUGAACCCUAAUGUGUUGGGUGACUCUACUACAGAGGUAUGUCGUAACAUAUAAAACAUAAUUAGACAUUGAUAAUUUACUCUAAAUUAAUUGCAAAGGUAAACAAAUUAUCAAUUUACUGCUGAUUUCAAAAGACAACACUUUUUGAACUUUGUAUUUCCUAAAGGGAUGGUUUAUACCUUUCUUAUAUGUAUUUUUAUAUAAAUUAGUACAAGAGGUGGAUAUAUUGAAAAGAAUUCUAGUAAUAUGUGUUAUACACUUUUAUAGAUUAUAGAAUCCUUGCUUUUUAAUUACUUAAUUCAUAUCUUUUAUCAUUUUUACAAUUAAAGUAAAUUUCUUUGGGUUAUUGCCUCUAUAGUAAAUAAAUUAUUCCUUUGAUUUUCAAUUUCAUUUAUUUUAAAUUCAUUGAGAGUAUCAGUAUCUAUUUUCUCGAGUACAGUUAAUAAAUACUUGCUUAUUGUUAAUUUAAAACUACACCCUAAUUAAAAAAAAGAUACUUUUAUUCUUUCUUAUUUUUUAUGACUUCUUAUUUUACAUAUCAAAUUUUAUAGUAAGUAGUUAAUUGGCUAUUUUUUUUACGAAAUUAAUACUUCCAAAAAACUUUGUUAACUGUUUUGUUAUUUUGUCAUUUUUUAAAUAAUUUAACAAAUGAAAAUAAAAUAUUCGAUAAAUCCACUUGUAAUUAAUAUUUAAGAAAGUAUUUAUUUAUUUAUUGUAAUAAUUACGAUAAGGUAUCAUUAAAAAAAGGAUCGAACGGGAUUGUAUGAAAGUCUGAAUGGGGUGUUUCGUGUAUGAGAGAGUCAAGGUGAACGAGGGUGUGAGAAUGGAGUAAUGAAUAGGGAUGCCUUACGAAUGGAGGAACGAAGGGUGGUGUGAGUUAAUGAAUGGGCAAAAGAUUGCAAGUACGAAAGAGGGUGUGAGAAAGUAAAUCCUACAACUCCACUCAUAUAUCCACUUGCGGAGUACCCUCAUUUGUAGAUGGUAGUACUCUCCAAGUGGAGGCAUGAGUGGAGUUAUGAGAGAGGUACAAAUGGGGAUGUGUGUGUGGGAGAGAGGGAGAGAAUGGAGGUACAAAUGGGGACGUAAGAAAGUAUUUUCAUAAGUCACUUUCAUACCUCCACUCGCAAAAUACCCUCAUUCGUACAUGAGGGUACACUGCGAGUAAAGGAAUGAAUGGUUGUGUGAGUAAGAAGUUUGAAUGGGGUUGAACGAACUAAUGAAGGUACUCCAUUCAUAUCGUCACUCGCAUAAUUCCCUCGUUUUAACAGGGGACGCUACGAGUGGCGAUAUGAAUGGAGUUGUGACAUGUACUAUCUCACACCCCCAUUCGUACCUCCAUUCGCAGUGUACCCUCAUGUACGAAUUAACGUACAGGAAUUUGCUUUUUACUCGACAAACUGUUAAUUAGUUUUCUGGUCUUGUAAUUAUGUUCAGAGUUCACAAAGUCACAAUUAGUAUAACGUCUAUUAACAACCGUUGACAAAGUGUAUACGGUUAAUUUAUAUUAUUUGUAAUUAACAAGGAAAAUUGUAAAAAUAUUGCCUAAAAUACUAGUUAGAGUUUUAUAAAACAAUAUCAGGAUCAAUUUGUACUAUUUUGUUGUAAUUUUAUAAUGAAAAAUUAGUGUUAAUCUAUAUUGCCAUAAAUGCUCUAAAUUUUUAUUAUUUAAUAAAGAUUGUAAUAAUUAGGCCUGUGGUUUGAUAUUAUGUAUUUGAAAUGUGCCUUAUAUCUAACUGUGUAGAUCUUAUUAAAUGUUAUGUUAAUUA